GAUGAACGCUGGCGGCGUGCCUAACACAUGCAAGUCGAGCGGACGGGCGAGAAACUUGUUGCUCGGAUGUUAUCGGCGGACGGGGGGGUAACAAAUGGAUAACCAACCUAUAAGACUGGGAGAACUACGGCAAACAGUAGCGGCUAACGGAGAAUAUUUUGAGCCGGAUGGUUCAUGAGUGAAAGACAGGCUUGCUGUCGCUGGUGGAUGGGUUCGCGCUGCAUCAGCUAGUUGGUGGGGUAAGGGCUUACCAAGGCAACGAUGCAUAGCCGACCUGAGAGGAGGGUCGGCCACCCCACAAUGGAGACGCGGCCCAGCCCACUACGGGAGGCAGCAGUAGGGAAUCUUCCGCAAUGGGCGGAAGCCUGACGGAGCACCGCCGCGUGGGGUGUGAAGGUCUUCUGCUCGUAAUUCUCUGUUAUUUGGGAAGAACAUAUGUGUACGUAACUGUGCACAUCUUGACGGUACCUAAUCAAAAAGCCCCGGCUAACUACGUG
RNAcentral lists this ribosomal RNA (497 nucleotides) under uncultured bacterium. RNAcentral describes it as "partial 16S ribosomal RNA". It matches the Rfam family "Bacterial small subunit ribosomal RNA", at positions 28 to 507 of the family's 1533-position model. The record is from RNAcentral.